CACGCCGUAAACGAUGAGCACUAGGUGUCGGGGGUCGAACCUCGGUGCCGCAGUUAACACAUUAAGUGCUCCGCCUGGGGAGUACGGUCGCAAGAUUAAAACUCAAAGGAAUUGACGGGGGCCCGCACAAGUAGCGGAGCAUGUGGUUUAAUUCGAAGCAACGCGAAGAACCUUACCUGGGCUUGACAUCCCAAGAAUCCUGUGGAAACAUAGGAGUGCCCUUCGGGGAACUUGGUGACAGGUGG
Molecule: ribosomal RNA, 245 nt
Filed under: uncultured Eubacteriales bacterium
Lineage: Bacteria; Bacillati; Bacillota; Clostridia; Eubacteriales
Description: uncultured Clostridiales bacterium partial 16S ribosomal RNA
Rfam family: Bacterial small subunit ribosomal RNA
Source: RNAcentral